CACCCCGUUUAGCCGGAAUAGUACGUCUAAAUGCUGAAACAACGUUUGAUUUUGGCCCAUUAAUAAGAAGUGGAUAUUGACUUCCCUUCCACUCAGCUACAGUAACACUUCUGUUCAUUUUUUUUUCUUUGCCAGAAAACUAGAAGUGCCUUUGAAUUAACUAAUAGCUCUAGGGAAAAGUUGGAGGGGAAGAGAGGGGACGGGACGGGAGAGGAGAGAGAGGCGAUGCAUGGGUUAACACUAAACCGUGAAAAGGAGGAGGAGGAGACCCGGGGGGGAGGCGACAAAGGGGGGCUUGGCGCGCGUAUAAAAGCGUCUGCCGCCGCUUCCACACGUUGCAUCUCAAACGAAGUAGUAGCUCCGAUUGGAGGUGAGGACGGGACGGGUAGGCGAGCAUCCGACAUGGGUACAGCGUUGGCUACGAGGCUCGGCUUGGGGCUUUUGCUCUUAGCGCUUCUUCUACCCACUCAGACAAGUGGCAGUAAUGGGACAACCGCAUUGGCCUCUAAUAAUUCAAGUCCAACUUCUCUGCCACUUAGCACACUGAACAGUACCACCCCGGCACAUGGAAACUCUCUUCAAUCAACUACUGGCCUCUUCAUUCUCUCAAUCUCUCUUCUGUAUAUUUGUUAGGACAUGCGGGCUGGGAAACUCACCAUCAUUCCUUGACCCACUCUCCUGAACCACCUGAGAUGGCUAGACCUUCCUAUCCCAGCAUGAAAAAGAACCACAAAAAGCCUACAUUGAGCCAGUGCAGUUUAUGCGGCAGUUCAGUUAUUGGUGUAUCAAUCUGACCAAGAGUGAUACUCACUCACAAUCUGAUGAUCCAAAGCCAUCCUCCCCUGAACAAUUUAACCACCAAGAGCCGGAAGACAGUACGUGGGCUUCAAAAUUCAAGAGCUGGAAUUGGAAAUACAAGACUGGAAAUACUAGACAAGAAGUAUAACUUGAUCAGCCAUGGAUAAGGCCUACCAUGAAAAAUCUGAGUGAGAUGAUAAAGCUACACUAAAUAAAGGCUCUUUAAUGGAAAUUAAUCUUAUAAAA
Molecule: long non-coding RNA, 1044 nt
Filed under: Salvator merianae (Argentine black and white tegu)
Lineage: Eukaryota; Metazoa; Chordata; Lepidosauria; Squamata; Teiidae
Description: lncRNA (ENSSMRG00000013321.1)
Source: RNAcentral